GCGGUGUGAGAGGUUGGGCUACACACACUUGCAGUCGGGACCUGCGGCAUCAGUGGACAUGACAAGACGCCUCCACUCGUCGUCGAUGAGAUGACAUUAAAGAAUCCACCGCUACUUCCGCUCAUUCAGGCGGAAUAAGGUCACACUGUUUAAUGUGUGGGAAACUUCUGAGCACCGUAGAGGAAUGACCCAAACGUCGCGGGAGGGAUUUUAAAAGCAGGAAGGUUCGGAUCCGAGCGCAUCAGGGAUCGCAUCUGUUUCCACCGCUGAAAGCACAAGAUGACAAUCAUACUGGACUUUGAGGAGUGUUUGAAAGACUCGCCACGUUUCAGAGCUGAAAUCGAAGAUGUCCAAAAUGAAGUGAGUGAACUAGAAACAAGAUUAGAAAAGCUUGUGAAACAAUGCCAGGCCAUGUUGGAUGCCGGACGUGUCUACUGCCAGGCCAGCAGGAACUUUGCCGGUGGCCUCAGGGAUCUGGGCCAUCACUGCUCAGGGGACACUAUGAUGGCGGAUUGUUUGGGGAAAUUUUCCCACAAACUGACUCUCAUUUUGGAAGCACAAGCUGAGGUGAUCGAUGUGACACAGAAGACGGUCAAGAGCAAGAUACAGAACUUUGUCAAAGAAGAUGUGCGUCGAUUCAAAGAUGUGCGGAAGGAAUUUGAGCGCAGCAGUGAGUGUCUGGAGGGGGCGCUGGCCAAAAAUGCUCAGGCGCCGCGGAACAAACCGCAUGAAGUAGAGGAGGCCAGCAGCGCUCUGCUAAACGCUCGGAAAUCAUUCCGCUCCAGUGCGCUGGACUAUGUCCUGGAGAUAAAUGUCAUUGAGGCCAAGAAGAAGACUGACAUUCUGAUGGCAAUGUUGUCACUGCUGGACGCUCAGGCUCAACUUUUCCAACACGGCCACGAGUCCUUGUCAGAGCUGGAGGAAUACCGAAGAAAUUUAUAUGAUGAGCACACCCAGUUUGUCCUGAAUUCUGCCCGAGAGAAGAGAGACAUGGAACAAAAACACGCCGCCAUAAAGAAGAAGGAUAUUUCUUACGACGACUCCAUCAUGCAUUUCAACGGUGAUGCCGCCAACGGCAUCCCCAUGGAGGGUUAUCUCUACAAGAGAGCCAGCAACGCCUUCAAGACCUGGAACAGACGUUGGUUUUCCAUUCAGAAAAAUCAGCUGAUGUAUCAGAAGAAAUUCAAGGACCAGCCGACCGUUGUGGUGGAGGACUUGCGUCUUUGCACCGUCAAACCCAGCGCUGAAAACGAGAGACGAUUCUGCUUUGAGGUCGUGUCUCCGUCAAAGUGCUGCCUGUUGCAGGCUGACUCAGAGAGGCAGCAACAAGCCUGGAUCAGUGCGGUGCAAAACAGCAUUGCGUCUGCCUUCCAAGAGUGCAGAGAAGAUCCGCUCAGCCCAAGGCAGCGCUGCAGCUCAGUGUCAGCAGACAGUCCAAGAGCGUUGGAUCAGGACAAUGAAGGAGUCAAGGCGCUGGAUGAAGUUCAGGCCAUCCCGGGGAACAGGCAGUGCUGUGACUGUGGAGAGCCAGGUCCUGACUGGGCCUCCAUCAACCUCGGCAUCACGCUGUGUAUCGUCUGCUCAGGGAUACACAGGAGUCUCGGGGUCCAUUUCUCUAAAGUGCGAUCGCUCACUCUGGACUCCUGGGAGCCAGAGCUGGUGAAGUUGAUGCGUGAAUUAGGAAACGCAGUGAUCAACAAGAUCUAUGAGGCGCGGAUCGAUGAGAUCACCAUUAAGAAGCCUCAGCCCUCCAGUCCGAGAGGAGACAAAGAAUGCUGGAUCAGGUCAAAGUAUGUGGAGAAGAAGUUCAUCCAAAAGCUGCCACAGACCAGCAGGAACCCUCCGCUGAGGCGUUCCAGUGCUCGCAGGACCCGAGCACCCUCGCAGGAUCAGAACGGGCAAAAACCUCCUUUGAGACCAAAACCAAGUCGGGCUACUUUGCCUCGACUCACUGGUGCAGGUCUGAGCCCCACUGAAACCUCCGCAAAUGACACAGGUGUCAUUAAAGACUGUCACCAGGAAGACGAGGAUCUCAGUGACCUUCACCCCGGAGCACUGCUCUACCGUUCAGCUGCCAUGCAGAACUUCCCUAUCAUGGCCGACGCUCUGGCCCACGGAGCCGACGUCAACUGGGUCAAUGUGUCCAAGGAGUCCACCACGCCACUCAUACAGGCCGUGUCUGCGAAUGCUUUGGCUGCCUGUGAGUUCCUGCUGCAGAACGGUGCCAACAUCAACCAGGUGGAUGGCAACGGGAGAGGCCCACUUCAUCAUGCCACUAUUUUGGGGCACACAGGGCUGGUGUGUCUCUUCCUGAAACGAGGCGCAGACUACAACGCCAAAGACAAGAACCAGAAGGACCCCAUAACCAUCGCUGUGGACAACGCCAACGCUGACAUUGUUACCUUACUGCGGAUUGCCAAAAUGAACAAGGAGAUGCGGGAGAUGGACGGCGCGUUCGGCCAACCAGGUCACUCGGGGCGCCAGCAGGGAUCUGGGGGAACAAGGAAGAGCCUACAGGCUCUAAAAAACCACAUAAGUGGCUGGGCUCAUGGAGGGCACCACGAUUAGCAGAGUUUACUUCUGUUGAAAGCUUGAACCCAAAAGUCCUGACUCAGGAGAAAAACCAACAGAUCCAUAGUGGCUGAACACUAAACAUUCUAAAAAGAGCCUCCAGUUGAAACUGCACUUUCAUUCAAGACUGCCGCUCUCUGAAACCCACACAUCGCCAAAAUACUAUUUCACAAGACAGAGAGCAGCCAGUGGGUGGAUCUAUUUUAUAACUAUUUAUAAAAGAAGCCCAGUGCUGUUUUUACAGGGUGAUACAUUGUGUCUUUUUACACAUUUGCACUGGCCUUUUUGUGCAUGUUCAUCUUUUCAGUUACAUAAGCUGAAUCUUCACAAUCCCAACUAUUCUGUGAAUAGUGAUGUUCUGUUACAUAAUUUCUGGAUAUUUAUGCAAAUAUUUGUCUUGAUUGUGCCGUCAUUUUGUGUCGUUUUGAAGGGACAAUAGAAUGUCUCCCUUUGGUUUUUACCCGAUAAGUGACCUAACUGUUCUCACCAAAAAGCCAGACAACAUUGUAAAUGUGACGCUUGCGUUUGCUUGACACCGAAACACUGCUGGCCGGUACUUGACUUUGCUUAAUGAUUGUGUGUCUUUGUGUGCACUGUGCCUUUGUGUCCACUGAGAUGUCCUUCUGGUCUGAAGUGCUUGUGCAGUGUGCCACCCAUGUCACGUAUGAGGCGAUGAAACCUACCAGGACAUCUUCAGAGACUUUUCACACAUGGCAUCCAACAACCCGGAGAAGCUCAAGCGCCGCAGCGCAGACCCUCAUUUUUAGUGUUUGUUGUUGCGAGUGCCCAAAAAGAUUGGACACACGUUUACCUGUGACCUGUUCACUGAGGUGGAGAUAUAAUUUUGAAAUGUAAUGAUGUCCGUACGGAACAUUGUGCCCAUAUAUCACGUUUAUAUCACGACAGUGGUGUGAGGCUCGUGCUCCUGCCUCUGAUGCAAAUGUUGUUUUUUUCAUCUGCUUGUCUUUUGCUAAAAAUAAAUACUUUCAGAAGUGAUCUUUCCGGUAGUUUUAAUAUAAACAACAGGAUCCACAUACACAAUCGUGUCGUCAUGGAUGUUUACAUACAAGUGUGCGAUUGUGUAUAGUACAGUGUUUCCACCUGUGCAAAAACAUAUUUAUACAUAAACACGCGCUACGCACAGCCAAUAUUUAAAGAUACAUCAGAGAACGUGUACAUAUCAUAAAUGUGUCAUAGUUUGCUGAACCCUGUGCAUAUUUUUGUGUAAAGCUUUGAAUCAGUUCUUGCACAGUGUUCAUUACAAUUACUUAAGUUAAAGAUAUAUUCAUCAGUGUCAGUGGUCAGUCAAAACGUUCUGCCCAAAUUCUACCCCAACGUUGGCUCCUUUAUUGAGGCGGUCUAAUGUUUGUGCUCGUCUUUCACUGUAUGAAGGUCUUCCCCGUCGUCCUCAUUGGCCAGUUCUUUCAUAGGAGUAGGGUCAGAGCAGGAGAAGAAGUGAGGAAGUGUGGUGAUGGUCAGAAUGCCUAGAUGGGUGAAGGCUCCUGACACGAUGAAUGAGACUGUGUAGUCUUCCGUGCUGUCCUUGAGCAGCCCUGGAAAUGAGGCAGAGGCAGGGGCAUGAAACACCACACCCGUCACAUUUACAUAUAUCUUGCUGCUGAUCUUUGAAUUUAACGGUGUGGAAUCCCCGAACUUCCCUGUCCCCUGCUACUCCAGCCAUAUAUGCAAAUGUUCACAAGUAAAGUUGUGAUUUCCAAUCAAGGGUUGUGAUGAUAAGUCAGCCUGCACCACCGGAACAU
This is an RNA transcript of Synchiropus splendidus (mandarinfish), 4331 nucleotides long. It is a transcript of the gene named ArfGAP with coiled-coil, ankyrin repeat and PH domains 1, with no coding region annotated. Lineage: Eukaryota; Metazoa; Chordata; Actinopteri; Syngnathiformes; Callionymidae. The record is from RefSeq and is a predicted model, not a curated record. The transcript is spliced from 23 exons.